AACGAACGCUGGCGGCAUGCCUAACACAUGCAAGUCGAACGAGAACUUCGGGUCUAGUGGCGCACGGGUGCGUAACGCGUGGGAACCUGCCCUUAGGUUCGGAAUAACUGCCCGAAAGGGGUGCUAAGACCGGAUAAUAUCUUCGGACCAAAGAUUUAUCGCCUUUGGAUGGGCCCGCGUUGGAUUAGCUGGUUGGUAGGGUAAAAGCCUACCAAGGCGACGGUCUAUAGCUGGUCUGAGAGGAUGAUCAGCCACACUGGGACUGAGACACGGCCCAGACUCCUACGGGAGGCAGCAGUGGGGAAUAUUGGACAACGGGCGAAAGCCUGAUCCAGCAAUGCCGCGUGAGUGAUGAAGGCCUUAGGGUUGUAAAGCUCUCUUACCCGGGAUGAUAAUGACAGUACCGGGAGAAUAAGCUCCGGCUAACUCCGUG
RNAcentral lists this ribosomal RNA (433 nucleotides) under uncultured bacterium. Its description in RNAcentral is "partial 16S ribosomal RNA". It matches the Rfam family "Bacterial small subunit ribosomal RNA", at positions 29 to 507 of the family's 1533-position model. The record is from RNAcentral.